RNAcentral lists this ribosomal RNA (253 nucleotides) under uncultured bacterium. Its description in RNAcentral is "partial 16S ribosomal RNA". It matches the Rfam family "Bacterial small subunit ribosomal RNA", at positions 524 to 776 of the family's 1533-position model. The record is from RNAcentral.
UACGUAGGUGGCAAGCGUUAUCCGGAAUUAUUGGGCGUAAAGCGCGCGCAGGUGGUUUCUUAAGUCUGAUGUGAAAGCCCACGGCUCAACCGUGGAGGGUCAUUGGAAACUGGGAGACUUGAGUGCAGAAGAGGAAAGUGGAGUUCCAUGUGUAGCGGUGAAAUGCGUAGAGAUAUGGAGGAACACCAGUGGCGAAGGCGACUCUUUGGGCUGUAACUGACGCUGAGGCGCGAAAGCGUGGGGAGCAAACAGG